This 253-nucleotide ribosomal RNA is filed under the name uncultured bacterium. RNAcentral describes it as "partial 16S ribosomal RNA". It matches the Rfam family "Bacterial small subunit ribosomal RNA", at positions 524 to 776 of the family's 1533-position model. The record is from RNAcentral.
UACGUAGGGUGCGAGCGUUGUCCGGAAUUAUUGGGCGUAAAGAGCUUGUAGGCGGUUUGUUGCGCCUGCUGUGAAAAUCCGGGGCUCAACUCCGGACUUGCAGUGGGUACGGGCAGACUAGAGUGUGGUAGGGGAGACUGGAAUUCCUGGUGUAGCGGUGGAAUGCGCAGAUAUCAGGAGGAACACCGAUGGCGAAGGCAGGUCUCUGGGCCACUACUGACGCUGAGAAGCGAAAGCAUGGGGAGCGAACAGG